AUAAAUAUCAAUGUGUAAUAUCGGAUUGAAAAUCCGCGUGUCGCUGGUUCGAUUCCGGCUCUGGGCACCA
This 70-nucleotide transfer RNA is filed under the name Martinezella rhizogenes. Its description in RNAcentral is "Rhizobium rhizogenes tRNA-Phe". Lineage: Bacteria; Pseudomonadati; Pseudomonadota; Alphaproteobacteria; Hyphomicrobiales; Rhizobiaceae. The record is from RNAcentral.